GGAUGAACGCUGGCGGCGUGCCUAAUACAUUCAAGUCGAGCGAACAGACGAGGAGCUUGCUCCUCUGACGUUAGCGGCGGACGGGUGAGUAACACGUGGAUAACCUACCUAUAAGACUGGGAUAACUUCGGGAAACCGGAGCUAAUACCGGAUAAUAUAUUGAACCGCAUGGUUCAAUAGUGAAAGACGGUUUUGCUGUCACUUAUAGAUGGAUCCGCGCCGCAUUAGCUAGUUGGUAAGGUAACGGCUUACCAAGGCAACGAUGCGUAGCCGACCUGAGAGGGUGAUCGGCCACACUGGAACUGAGACACGGUCCAGACUCCUACGGGAGGCAGCAGUAGGGAAUCUUCCGCAAUGGGCGAAAGCCUGACGGAGCAACGCCGCGUGAGUGAUGAAGGUCUUCGGAUCGUAAAACUCUGUUAUUAGGGAAGAACAAAUGUGUAAGUAACUAUGCACGUCUUGACGGUACCUAAUCAGAAAGCCACGGCUAACUACGUG
This 498-nucleotide ribosomal RNA is filed under the name uncultured bacterium. RNAcentral's name for it is "partial 16S ribosomal RNA". It matches the Rfam family "Bacterial small subunit ribosomal RNA", at positions 27 to 507 of the family's 1533-position model. The record is from RNAcentral.